This 424-nucleotide ribosomal RNA is filed under the name uncultured bacterium. RNAcentral's name for it is "partial 16S ribosomal RNA". It matches the Rfam family "Bacterial small subunit ribosomal RNA", at positions 359 to 775 of the family's 1533-position model. The record is from RNAcentral.
GAAUAUUGGACAAUGGGCGAAAGCCUGAUCCAGCCAUGCCGCGUGUGUGAAGAAGGUCUUCGGAUUGUAAAGCACUCGAAGCUGGGAGGAAGGGCAGUAAGCGAAUACCUUGCUGUUUUGACGUUACCGACAGACUAAGCCCCGGCUAACCCUGUUCCUGCAGCCGCGGUAAUACAGAUGGUGCAAGCGUUAAUCGGAAUUACUGGGGGUAAAGCGCGCGUAGGUGGUUCGUUAAGUUGGAUGUGAAAUCCCCGGGCUCAACCUGGGAACUGCAUCCAAAACUGGCGAGCUAGAGUAGGGCGGAGGGUGGUGGAAUUUCCUGUGUAGCGGUGAAAUGCGUAGAUAUAGGAAGGAACACCAGUGGCGAAGGCGACCACCUGGGCUCAUACUGACACUGAGGUGCGAAAGCGUGGGGAGCAAACAG